UGAGCAAUCUGCCCUUCUCUUUGGAAUAAGCGUUGGAAACGACGUCUAAUGCCGAAUACGACCUCCUUUCGCAUGAUCGGAGGUGGAAAGCUCCGGCGGAGAAGGAUGAGCUCGCGGCCUAUCAGCUAGUUGGUGUGGGUAAUGGCCCACCAAGGCGACGACGGGUAGUCGGCCUGAGAGGGUGACCGGCCACACUGGGACUGAGACACGGCCCAGACUCCUACGGGAGGCAGCG
Molecule: ribosomal RNA, 235 nt
Filed under: uncultured bacterium
Lineage: Bacteria
Description: partial 16S ribosomal RNA
Rfam family: Bacterial small subunit ribosomal RNA
Source: RNAcentral